Long non-coding RNA from Strongylocentrotus purpuratus (purple sea urchin), 519 nucleotides. RefSeq lists it as uncharacterized. The transcript is spliced from 3 exons. Lineage: Eukaryota; Metazoa; Echinodermata; Echinoidea; Camarodonta; Strongylocentrotidae. The record is from RefSeq and is a predicted model, not a curated record.
AAGCUCAUCAUGGCAUCGAAGACCAUUACCGCCCUGCUCCUUCUCUUCGCUCUCAUAGGCGCGGCGAGUGCCGCGGCUAUAAACUCUGAGAAUGAAGGUGACAACGCGUUAGGCAUGGCCAUAGAGGCUCCCUCAAGUGAUGAUGACACGGUGAAUGAAGUAAAAACUCGUCCAUGCUUGAGCUCCGGCUUCAAGCUCCCUUGAGCUCCGGCUUCGAGCUCCCUUGAGCUACGGCUUCAUUCCUGAAGAAUGAACGUGGCAUCUUGUAUUGGAGAUUCAAAAGCAAACACUUGCACACGCACCUGCAUGGGACUAAGUGGACUUAACUCAAUCAUCUGAUAUUGCAAUUCAAUUUCAUAAUUCUUUUUCUUGUCAUGAAUAGAUGACAACUUGUUUGAUUACGUUUAUUAUCAUUGAGACACCCUUUUCUUUCAUUUAUUUGUAUACUAGCUCAUAUGUAUGUAUUACUCUGUUAUCAUAUCGGAUGUAAACAUGUAAUUAUGCAUGACAUACUGUUAA